RNAcentral lists this ribosomal RNA (460 nucleotides) under uncultured bacterium. RNAcentral's name for it is "partial 16S ribosomal RNA". It matches the Rfam family "Bacterial small subunit ribosomal RNA", at positions 338 to 795 of the family's 1533-position model. The record is from RNAcentral.
CCUACGGGUGGCAGCAGUGAGGAAUAUUGGUCAAUGGACGCAAGCCUGAACCAGCCAUGCCGCGUGCAGGAAGACGGCUCUAUGAGUUGUAAACUGCUUUUGUACGAGGGUAAACGCAGAUACGCGUAUCUGUCUGACAGUAUCGUACGAAUAAGGAUCGGCUACCUCCGUGCCAGCAGCCGCGGUAAUACGGAGGCUUCAAGCGUUAUCCGGAUUUAUUGGGUUUAAAGGGUGCGUAGGCGGGCGGAUAAGUUAGAGGUGAAAUCCCGAGGCUCAACUUCGGAAUUGCCUCUGAUACUGUUCGGCUAGAGAGGAGGAGAGGUAGGCGGAAUGUAUGGUGUAGCGGUGAAAUGCUUAGAGAUCAUGAAGAACACCGAUUGCGAAGGCAGCCUACUAAGCUACUUCGGACGUUGAGGCACGAAAGCGUGGGGAGCAAACAGGAUUAGAUACCCUUGUAGUC